GGGCCCGUAGCUCAGCUAGGUAGAGCACCCGGCUCAUUACCGGGGGGUCGCGGGUUCGAAUCCCGCCGGGCCCACCA
Molecule: transfer RNA, 77 nt
Filed under: Thermoprotei archaeon
Lineage: Archaea; Thermoproteati; Thermoproteota; Thermoprotei
Description: tRNA-Met
Rfam family: tRNA
About the family: Transfer RNA (tRNA) molecules are approximately 80 nucleotides in length. Their secondary structure includes four short double-helical elements and three loops (D, anti-codon, and T loops).
Source: RNAcentral